RNAcentral lists this ribosomal RNA (402 nucleotides) under uncultured bacterium. Its description in RNAcentral is "bacterial SSU rRNA". It matches the Rfam family "Bacterial small subunit ribosomal RNA", at positions 355 to 774 of the family's 1533-position model. The record is from RNAcentral.
UGGGGAAUAUUGGACAAUGGGCGAAAGCCUGAUCCAGCCAUGCCGCGUGAGUGAUGAAGGCCCUAGGGUUGUAAAGCUCUUUCACCGGUGAAGAUAAUGACGGUAACCGGAGAAGAAGCCCCGGCUAACUUCGUGCCAGCAGCCGCGGUAAUACGAAGGGGGCUAGCGUUGUUCGGAAUUACUGGGCGUAAAGCGCACGUAGGCGGAUUGUUAAGUCGGGGGUGAAAUCCCGGGGCUCAACCCCGGAACUGCCUUCGAUACUGGCAAUCUAGAGUCCGGAAGAGGUGAGUGGAAUUCCGAGUGUAGAGGUGAAAUUCGUAGAUAUUCGGAGGAACACCAGUGGCGAAGGCGGCUCACUGGUCCGGUACUGACGCUGAGGUGCGAAAGCGUGGGGAGCAAACA